GUAUUAAAUAGUUGCGUAAACCACAUCUUCUCCAACUUUAAUGUGGCUGGGAUUCAAGUGGGUAUCUUUCUAAAAUGCAGAUUCUGAUUCAAAAGGUCUGGGGUUGAGUCACAGAUUCUGUAUUUCUUACAACACUGGCAUCUUAUGUGAUGCCACUGUUGCUGGACCAAAGACCAUAUUGUAAGUAGCAAGCAUAUAAACAACCUUGUUUUGUAAAUAAGAAAACAGGAUUAAGACGGCAAAUAAUUUACCACGAUCACAGAGCUACGGUGAGUCAGGAUUUGAAUUCAGGUGUAUCUGACCAACCAAUAAAGAGCCUAUCAAGGUGCUGGAGGAUGCAGGGAUUAGAGCCAGCAGAGUAAGUUUGGAGGAGGAGGCUGACCUCCUUAAAUGUGAGAAUUUACUGGGAAAUGGUGGGAGACAACAUCGGUACCAGAAAUAGAAGUCAUCCACUGCUUAAUAUAGAAUUAGUGCUACAGAGAAGAAACAGAAGUCAAACCUUGUUUCUUGACCUGUGAAUAUCAAGACAUUCCAUUGACUGGGGAGCCAUGAUGCAGAGUUACUCCCUUCCAUCACAGAUGCGUCCACGACAUUGUCAUAAGAGAAGACUUCAAAUUAACCUGAGACUGAUUUGCGAUUUGGGAAAAUGAAUGCAGAACGAGGAGAACUGGUUCCACGGCCGCAUCAUGGAAGGAAACAAAGAAAGGAAAAGAAAAGAAAGAAAAGGAGAAGAAUAUCUAGAAGAUCUGCUUGUGUAGACUUGCCCUUUGGUCCAACGUGUUACAAAUCAAUGCAAAGACUUCCAAGAUAUAGAAGAGGGAGGUGCAGAACAGACUCUUCGCUGACGUGCUUGGGACACUGUGGAAGUUUUAUAAGCAUGUCUGGCUGAAUUUAAUGCUGUAGUUUUUAACCGACAUCUAAUAUAUGUGGAGAUGCUAACCUGAUUCCAGGACUAUUGAUUUACUUGUUCUUUCGUGCCG
RNAcentral lists this long non-coding RNA (980 nucleotides) under Equus caballus (horse). RNAcentral describes it as "lncRNA (ENSECAG00000045431.1)". The record is from RNAcentral. Lineage: Eukaryota; Metazoa; Chordata; Mammalia; Perissodactyla; Equidae.